Molecule: ribosomal RNA, 445 nt
Filed under: uncultured bacterium
Lineage: Bacteria
Description: bacterial SSU rRNA
Rfam family: Bacterial small subunit ribosomal RNA
Source: RNAcentral
CUCCUACGGGGGGCUGCAGUGGGGAAUCUUGCACAAUGGGCGAAAGCCUGAUGCAGCAACGCCGCGUGCGGGAAGAAGGCCCUAGGGUUGUAAACCGCUUUCAGUAGGGAAGAAAAUGACGGUACCUACAGAAGAAGGUGCGGCCAACUACGUGCCAGCAGCCGCGGUGACACGUAGGCACCAAGCGUUAUCCGGAUUUAUUGGGCGUAAAGAGCUCGUAGGCGGUUUGGUAAGUCGGGUGUGAAAACUCUGGGCUCAACCCAGAGAGGCCACCCGAUACUGCUAUGACUAGAGUACGGUAGGGGAGCGGGGAAUUCAUGGUGUAGCGGUGAAAUGCGCAGAUAUCAUGAGGAACACCAGCGGCGAAGGCGCCGCUCUGGGCCGUAACUGACGCUGAGGAGCGAAAGCGUGGGUAGCAAACAGGAUUAGAUACCCGUGUAGACAU